This 73-nucleotide transfer RNA is filed under the name Apaloderma vittatum (bar-tailed trogon). It matches the Rfam family "tRNA". Rfam says of the family: Transfer RNA (tRNA) molecules are approximately 80 nucleotides in length. Their secondary structure includes four short double-helical elements and three loops (D, anti-codon, and T loops). Lineage: Eukaryota; Metazoa; Chordata; Aves; Trogoniformes; Trogonidae. The record is from Rfam by way of RNAcentral.
GGCCAGUUAGCUCGGUUGGUUAGAGCGUGGUGCUGGUAACACCAAGGCCUCGGGUUCGAUCCCCGCUUGGUCC